UACGUAGGGUCCGAGCGUUGUCCGGAUUUAUUGGGCGUAAAGAGCGUGUAGGCGGCCAGGUAGGUCGGUUGUGAAAACUCGAGGCUCAACCUCGAGAUGUCGACCGAGACCAUCUGGCUAGAGUCCGGAAGAGGAGAAUGGAAUUCCCGGUGUAGCGGUGAAAUGCGCAGAUAUCGGGAAGAACACCCGUGGCGAAGGCGGUUCUCUGGGACGGUACUGACGCUGAGACGCGAAAGCGUGGGGAGCGAACAGG
This 253-nucleotide ribosomal RNA is filed under the name uncultured bacterium. Its description in RNAcentral is "partial 16S ribosomal RNA". It matches the Rfam family "Bacterial small subunit ribosomal RNA", at positions 524 to 776 of the family's 1533-position model. The record is from RNAcentral.